Ostrea edulis (European flat oyster) is the source of this 1494-nucleotide long non-coding RNA. RefSeq lists it as uncharacterized. The transcript is spliced from 2 exons. The record is from RefSeq and is a predicted model, not a curated record. Lineage: Eukaryota; Metazoa; Mollusca; Bivalvia; Ostreida; Ostreidae.
AUGUGUUUUCCGUCACUGAAAAUAUUGACGGUAGUGUGUGGUUCUUAGCGCUGCUUGAUAGGUCAGAGGUCAGGAAAAUCGUCAAAAUCAGUAGAUGUUUCACUGAUCGCAAUGAUUCAUUCGCGGUGGCCCAAGUUCUUGACAACUUGCGGACCAUUUGUCCAAUGGAGAUAACACACAACAGCAGAGGUGACAUUUUGAUCUUAGACGACAAUAAAAAAGAGGUCCAUAUCGUGAACAAAAUUGGGAAUCUGACGUGGUCUUGGUCUUUUAGAGGGAAUAUUGAAAGUAUUUGUGUUGAUCCCUCAGACAAAUUAUGGGUAGCCGAUUCUGACGGCGAUAUUAAAGCUUUUGGAUGUUAUAGAUUGUGUAAACCAAUUUCUCGGCAAGGAGUCAAAAAUGUUCUAAAGAAAUACUCAAAGAAUCGUUUCUGGGGUGUGAGUCAUGCGAAAUCGUUAGCUGCUAGUGUAACGUUUAGCAAACAUUUGAAAAAGCACCACAACGAAAUAUCCUGUGAAAUCUGUUCAUUUUCAUAUAUGUACCCAUCGUUGCUAGCCACGCUUCCUGAGUCCGGAAGUACCAACCUCAAACCGAAUUGACGUAGCGUGAACGGAGACAAUUAACAUGUUUUGCGAUGAUGGUCCGAGCCCGGUAAUUUAUCAUUUCCAGUAUCUUUAGUAACUUGACUCUAAUUCAGGAAUCAAAUGUAUCAUACCAGAUGGAAAACCAACACAGUGCCGUCCUGCUGUCACCGAACGGUUACCAAGAAAUGUCACUCAAAAGUCCGCUUUGGUGUAUGUGAGUAAUCGUCUGUCGGUGAAUCCCAGAGUUAGACAUAUAGAUUCUAUACAUAAAUUGCCAUUUGCCAGUUUCCAUAUAUGUACAAGAAAAAAUACAGUGAUGAAAGUUGAGAAAAAGACAGACAUUCCUUUUUGAUGUUACAUAUUGUAUAUGUAUGACAGUUAGGCUAUCUAUAGCGUAAUAACGAUAAACAUGUGAAGUGUUUGCUAAUUUAGAAAUGGAAGACAUUUUCUGAAAGUGUCAUUUAGAUGUGUUUGAUAGAUACCUGUAGUUUUUAUACAAUACAUAUUGAAAGAAAGCCUUUUAGAAGGCAAAUUUAAUGAAGAGGAUAUGCAUAGAUAUGGAUGUCAGAAAUAUAAAAGAAUAUUUAUUAACUUUCUUGUUAUACCUGUACUAAGGACAAAUGAUCAAAGUAAAAAAUUAUCAUUUAAGAAAUAAAGGGUCAAUAUCAAGGGUGAAUAAUUUGUAUUAAAGGAAGGUCCUGGACCCUUUCCAGGGAAUGAUAACUGCAAAAUAUGAUGGGUUAUUCAAAUCCGCUGUAGAUCCACAGGACAAGAAAUGACAAAACUGUGUGAAUACCGUUGUAUAGGAUUUCAAAACAUUGUUUUUGAGGACAUAGUGGCGCCAUCAUAUAAGAGGUCCAUUUAUUUAUUGUUUGGAAAUGGUGUAUUUGUAAAAUAAUUAAGAAAUUAA